Myotis lucifugus (little brown bat) is the source of this 104-nucleotide small nuclear RNA. Lineage: Eukaryota; Metazoa; Chordata; Mammalia; Chiroptera; Vespertilionidae. The record is from Ensembl.
GUGCUCGCUUCGGCAGCACAUACACUAAAAUUGGAAUGACACAGAGAUUAGCAUUGCCCCUGCGCAGGGAUGACACGCAAAUUCGUGAAGAGUUACAUUAUUUU